RNAcentral lists this ribosomal RNA (253 nucleotides) under uncultured bacterium. RNAcentral describes it as "partial 16S ribosomal RNA". It matches the Rfam family "Bacterial small subunit ribosomal RNA", at positions 524 to 776 of the family's 1533-position model. The record is from RNAcentral.
UACGUAGGGUGCAAGCGUUGUCCGGAAUUAUUGGGCGUAAAGAGCUCGUAGGCGGUUUGUUGCGUCGGCUGUGAAAUCCCGAGGCUCAACCUCGGGUCUGCAGUCGAUACGAGCAAACUAGAGUGUUGCAGGGGAGACUGGAAUUCCUGGUGUAGCGGUGGAAUGCGCAGAUAUCAGGAAGAACACCCGUGGCGAAGGCGGCUCUCUGGAACGCAACUGACGCUGAGACGCGAAAGCGUGGGGAGCAAACAGG